GACGAACGCUGGCGGCGUGCCUAAUACAUGCAAGUCGAGCGGACCUCUUCGGAGGUCAGCGGCGGACGGGUGAGGAAGACGUGGGUAAUCUGCCUUUCAGACCGGAAUAACGCCCGGAAACGGGCGCUAAUGCCGGAUACGCCCGCGAGGAGGCAUCUUCUUGCGGGGAGAGGCCCAAUGGGGCCGCUGAGAGAGGAGCCCGCGGCGCAUUAGCUCGUUGGCGGGGUAACGGCCCACCAAGGCGACGAUGCGUAGCCGACCUGAGAGGGUGACCGGCCACACUGGGACUGAGACACGGCCCAG
RNAcentral lists this ribosomal RNA (303 nucleotides) under uncultured bacterium. RNAcentral describes it as "bacterial SSU rRNA". It matches the Rfam family "Bacterial small subunit ribosomal RNA", at positions 28 to 334 of the family's 1533-position model. The record is from RNAcentral.